Molecule: long non-coding RNA, 388 nt
Organism: Chroicocephalus ridibundus (black-headed gull)
Lineage: Eukaryota; Metazoa; Chordata; Aves; Charadriiformes; Laridae
Exons: 3
Source: RefSeq, a predicted model, not a curated record
AGGCUCGGAGCGGCUGGAUAGGAGGGGACUUUCCAACCAAUAAAUGAAGUGCAAGCCAGCUACUCAGUAAACUAAGAAGAAGUAAAAGGAGACUAUUCAACAGUCACCCAAAGCCUGUGUGUUCCUUUGAUGACAGGUGGAACUGAUAACUGUACUGAGAGCAAAGCUGAGAGUGCCUCAGGAUGCAGGAAGUAGAAGAUUCUUACACAGACCAGCUGAGCUGAGGAAAUGAAGGACUUAGGAUGAAACCAUUAGAACUGUUUUCCCUGAUGACGCUGGGACUUGUGAUGCUUGCAUGAGACAUCAUGUCUUUACAACGUGGAAUGCCUUGACCCAGAGUUAUUACAUUUUUUUAUUCUUUUCCUUUUAAACCUCAAAGGCAAGAUGC